UGGGGAAUUUUGGACAAUGGGCGAAAGCCUGAUCCAGCAAUGCCGCGUGUGUGAAGAAGGCCUUCGGGUUGUAAAGCACUUUUGUCCGGAAAGAAAUGGCUCUGGUUAAUACCUGGGGUCGAUGACGUUACCGGAAGAUUAAGGACCGGCUAACUACGUGCCAGCAGCCGCGGUAAUACGUAGGGUCCAAGCGGUAAUCGGAAUUACUGGGCGUAAAGCGUGCGCAGGCGGUUGUGCAAGACCGAUGUGAAAUCCCCGAGCUUAACUUUGGAAUUGCAUUGGUGACUGCACGGCUAGAGUGUGUCAGAGGGGGGUAGAAUUCCGCGUGUAGCAGUGAAAUGCGUAGAGAUGUGGAGGAAUACCGAUGGCGAAGGCGGCCCCCUGGGAUAGCACUGACGAUCUUGCACGAAAGCGUGGGGAGCAAACAGG
This 429-nucleotide ribosomal RNA is filed under the name Bacillota bacterium. Its description in RNAcentral is "Firmicutes bacterium partial 16S ribosomal RNA". It matches the Rfam family "Bacterial small subunit ribosomal RNA", at positions 355 to 776 of the family's 1533-position model. The record is from RNAcentral. Lineage: Bacteria; Bacillati; Bacillota.